CACGUAGGGGGCAAGCGUUGUCCGGAUUUAUUGGGCGUAAAGAGCUCGUAGGUGGCUGAGUAAGUCGGGUGUCAAAUCCCCAGGCUCAACCUGGGACCCCACCCGAUACUGCUCUGGCUAGAGUCCGGUAGGGGAGCGUGGAAUUCCUGGUGUAGCGGUGAAAUGCGCAGAUAUCAGGAGGAACACCAGCGGCGAAGGCGGCGCUCUGGGCCGGUACUGACACUGAGGAGCGAAAGCGUGGGUAGCAAACAGG
This 253-nucleotide ribosomal RNA is filed under the name uncultured bacterium. RNAcentral's name for it is "partial 16S ribosomal RNA". It matches the Rfam family "Bacterial small subunit ribosomal RNA", at positions 524 to 776 of the family's 1533-position model. The record is from RNAcentral.